Molecule: non-coding RNA, 630 nt
Filed under: Streptomyces mirabilis
Lineage: Bacteria; Bacillati; Actinomycetota; Actinomycetes; Kitasatosporales; Streptomycetaceae
Description: partial 23S ribosomal RNA
Rfam family: Bacterial large subunit ribosomal RNA
Source: RNAcentral
GGCCAAGUUUUUAAGGGCGCACGGUGGAUGCCUUGGCACCAGGAACCGAUGAAGGACGUGGGAGGCCACGAUAGUCCCCGGGGAGUCGUCAACCAGGCUUUGAUCCGGGGGUUUCCGAAUGGGGAAACCCGGCAGUCGUCAUGGGCUGUCACCCAUACCUGAACACAUAGGGUAUGUGGAGGGAACGCGGGGAAGUGAAACAUCUCAGUACCCGCAGGAAGAGAAAACAACCGUGAUUCCGGGAGUAGUGGCGAGCGAAACUGGAUGAGGCCAAACCAUAUGCGUGUGAGACCCGGCAGGGGUUGCGUAUGUGGGGUUGUGGGAUUUCUCUUUCACGGUCUGCCGGCCGUGAGACGAGUCAGAAACCGUUGAUGUAGGCGAAGGACAUGCGAAAGGUCCGGCGUAGAGGGUAAGACCCCCGUAGUCGAAACGUCAACGGCUCGUUUGAGAAACACCCAAGUAGCACGGGGCCCGAGAAAUCCCGUGUGAAUCUGGCGGGACCACCCGCUAAGCCUAAAUAUUCCCUGGUGACCGAUAGCGGAUAGUACCGUGAGGGAAUGGUGAAAAGUACCGCGGGAGCGGAGUGAAAUAGUACCUGAAACCGUGUGCCUACAAGCCGUGGGAGCGUCG